CAUUAAAGAAUCGCCCCGUUUUUUGAAAUGGGUUCUAUUCCCAAACCGUGUAUACAUACCUUUGUUGCUUUGGCAGGCCGCCUUCUAGGCGUCGGCUCCGGCUGACUGCGCCUGCCAGAGGACCCAAACUCGUUUGUUUAGUGAUGUCUGAGUACUAUAUAAUAGUUAAAACUUUCAACAACGGAUCUCUUGGUUCUGGCAUCGAUGAAGAACGCAGCGAAAUGCGAUAAGUAAUGUGAAUUGCAGAAUUCAGUGAAUCAUCGAAUCUUUGAACGCACAUUGCGCCCCUUGGUAUUCCGAGGGGCAUGCCUGUUCGAGCGUCAUUAUAACCACUCAAGCCUCGGCUUGGUCUUGGGGUUCGCGGUAUCGCGGCCCUUAAAAUCAGUGGCGGUGCCGUCUGGCUCUAAGCGUAGUAAUUCUCUCGCUAUAGGGUCCCGGCGGUUACCUGCCAUAACCCCCCAUUCUUUACGGUUGACCUCGGAUCAGGUAGGGAUACCCGCUGAACUU
This 507-nucleotide ribosomal RNA is filed under the name uncultured fungus. RNAcentral describes it as "eukaryotic LSU rRNA". The stretch from base 170 to 323 matches the Rfam family "5.8S ribosomal RNA". The record is from RNAcentral. Lineage: Eukaryota; Fungi.